This 419-nucleotide ribosomal RNA is filed under the name bacterium. Its description in RNAcentral is "partial 16S ribosomal RNA". It matches the Rfam family "Bacterial small subunit ribosomal RNA", at positions 355 to 776 of the family's 1533-position model. The record is from RNAcentral.
UGGGGGAUAUUGCACAAUGGGCGAAAGCCUGAUGCAGCGACGCCGCGUGGGGGAUGAAGGCCUUCGGGUUGUAAACUUCUUUUGCUCUGAACAAGGCGCACCAUGGGGUGUGUUGAGUGUAGGGGUUGAUUAGCGCCGGCUAACUACGUGCCAGCAGCCGCGGUAAUACGUAGGGCGCGAGCGUUGUCCGGAAUUAUUGGGCGUAAAGGGCUUGUAGGUGGCUGGUUGCGUCUGUCGUGAAAGCUCAUGGCUUAACUGUGGGUUUGCGGUGGGUACGGGCUGGCUUGAGUGCAGUAGGGGAGGCUGGAAUUCCUGGUGUAGCGGUGGAAUGCGCAGAUAUCAGGAGGAAUACCGGUGGCGAAGGCGGGGCUCUGGGCUGUUACUGACACUGAGGAGCGAAAGCAUGGGGAGCGAACAGG